RNAcentral lists this ribosomal RNA (291 nucleotides) under uncultured Sphingobacteriaceae bacterium. Its description in RNAcentral is "partial 16S ribosomal RNA". It matches the Rfam family "Bacterial small subunit ribosomal RNA", at positions 505 to 795 of the family's 1533-position model. The record is from RNAcentral. Lineage: Bacteria; Pseudomonadati; Bacteroidota; Sphingobacteriia; Sphingobacteriales; Sphingobacteriaceae.
GUGCCAGCAGCCGCGGUAAUACGGAGGAUCCAAGCGUUAUCCGGAUUUAUUGGGUUUAAAGGGUGCGUAGGCGGCCUGUUAAGUCAGGGGUGAAAGACGGUGGCUCAACCAUCGCAGUGCCCUUGAUACUGAUGGGCUUGAAUGGACUAGAGGUAGGCGGAAUGUGACAAGUAGCGGUGAAAUGCAUAGAUAUGUCACAGAACACCGAUUGCGAAGGCAGCUUACUAUGGUUUUAUUGACGCUGAGGCACGAAAGCGUGGGGAUCGAACAGGAUUAGAUACCCCAGUAGUC